GAUGAACGCUGGCGGCGUGCCUAACACAUGCAAGUCGAACGGAUGGCUUCGGCCAUUAGUGGCAAACGGGUGCGUAACACGUAGGUAAUCUACCCAGGAGACGGGGACAACGGAUGGAAACGUCCGCUAAUACCCGAUGACGUCGGGAGACGAAAGGCGAAAGCCACUCGUGGAGGAGCCUGCGGCCUAUCAGGUAGUUGGUGGGGUAAGAGCCUACCAAGCCGACGACGGGUAGGGGGUGUGAGAGCAUGACCCCCCACACGGGGACUGAGACACGGACCAGACUCCUACGGGAGGCAGCAGUAAGGAAUAUUGGACAAUGGCCGCAAGGCUGAUCCAGCCAUGCCGCGUGAAGGAUGAAGGUGCUAUGCAUUGUAAACUUCUUUUGCAUGGGACGAAAAAACUUAAUUUAUUAAGGACUGACGGUACCAUGAGAAUAAGCACCGGCUAACUCCGUG
RNAcentral lists this ribosomal RNA (458 nucleotides) under uncultured bacterium. Its description in RNAcentral is "bacterial SSU rRNA". It matches the Rfam family "Bacterial small subunit ribosomal RNA", at positions 28 to 507 of the family's 1533-position model. The record is from RNAcentral.